GUCAGUUCCGUCAGGUUCGCCAUUCGUUAGAUCUACUGUAUGUGAUGACGGCUCAUUUGCAAACACAUAGCCCAACUGGUCCACACUCCACACAUUACCUCAUCCCUGCAUUGUCCAGAAUGUCACCAUAUGCCCGUCAUGUAGCGUCCUGUUAACACUUCAUGGUUAUGAUUCAUCCCCAUGUCUUCAUCACUGUAAACGCGAUCUAUCUGGCCGUGACUAGAGGACUGAACUGUUUUCUCACUAAUCUGGAAUGCCCUUCGUUACAGAAUUAUAAAGUCUUCUUUUUGCGCUGUUAUAUGUUCCCAUAUGUUGUAACCUUUUUGUUUUGUUAUGCACUCUUUGUCUAUGUAUUAAUGUCUUGCAGAUCAUACAGUAAUGAUGGAUUAUAUUCAGCAUACACUGAUGUAGUCUUUUGAUGUCGUUGAUUUGACUAUGAUUUGCUUUGCUGUUUUGGUUACAAAAUCACAUUUGCACACAUUUCGUCAUACGGUUCUUCAUAUUUAAACCUCACUCAUUUUCAUAGCUAGCACACCAGCACAUAUUUGUGACGUCCGUAUGGCCUUUUCUUUUGUUUUCUUUCCUGCACAGAACAGCAUGACUGCAGUGGGUGUUGUUAUAUUACUGCUUAUGUGGACUGUGCUUAUUAUUCGUUUAGAAAAGCAUGUUGUUUUCUUCUCCUAUACCUUGCAAUUCAGGUCACUUCAAGGGUAUGGCAUACAUGAGUUAGUUCAGUUAUUUACUAAAGCAUGUCAUUCAUAAAGCUGGAGCCAUUACAUUACAGGACACGACAUUACAUUACAUUACACUACACUGUAUUAAAUGUAACAGGCCGUUCUAUCCAAAGACUUUCAAACGAGGACAUAAUCAGUAAUAUACAAUGUGUGUGGAGGGCGGGGGGAAUACAGAGCACACAGGCAUAACACGCAGAGUACAGAAGAGUUGGGUUAGUAUUUUUCUAAAGUCAAAUCUAGAACUAAAAAAUAAAUCUCGGGCCUGUAUGAGCGACCUUGAGAGGUGUAUGUAGCGUGACCUCAGUCUCCAAGGAGAUGACCUCUUCAUGGCUGAAAAUGGAUUAGCUCAGUCACGACCUCUCCCCAUGGUUAUGUUGUUGUUUGGACAUCGCCAUGGAGACAGAAUACCCUUCCUGACAUGUUCCCACAUUUGGUUGCCACGGUGACCUCUUUGUUGACAUUUGACCUUGAGCGUGACCUUGGUGUGUUUGGCUCCUCAGGGAGAAGUGGUGUCACAUGACGCAGGAGGAGAGAGACGACACGUCCAGGCUCAAUGAGAACAUCACCUUCGGACAGCUGGGAACAUUUAGCCACAACAUGUUGGCCUUCGGCUUGACCAAGAAGCUCUGUAACGACUUCCUGAAGAAACAGGCAGUGAUUGGAAACCUAAACGAAGAGCAAUACAAGCUACUGAGUGACCAUAUUGAGCAGAUGGCACAGGAGUGAGACGUGCCAGGAGUGAGACGCACCAGGAGUAAGAUAUUGGCGUGAGACACCAGGAGUGAGACGUCGUGGAGUGAGACAUACAGUAGAGAAAGACUGGCUUCCUGCAGCAAACGCUCCCCACAGAACUAACCUACCCAGUGUCCCAGUUUAUAUGGAAACACAUCUACAGCGCACACGUAAACAGUACAUUGUUAUAAAGUACUUAUUCACUUAUACAAUACAGACUUACUGGUAAUCACU
Molecule: long non-coding RNA, 1700 nt
Organism: Engraulis encrasicolus (European anchovy)
Lineage: Eukaryota; Metazoa; Chordata; Actinopteri; Clupeiformes; Engraulidae
Exons: 3
Source: RefSeq, a predicted model, not a curated record